RNAcentral lists this ribosomal RNA (465 nucleotides) under uncultured bacterium. RNAcentral describes it as "bacterial SSU rRNA". It matches the Rfam family "Bacterial small subunit ribosomal RNA", at positions 338 to 795 of the family's 1533-position model. The record is from RNAcentral.
CCUANGGGUGGCAGCAGUGAGGAAUAUUGGGCAAUGCCCGCAAGGGUGACCCAGCAAUGCCGCGUGCAGGAUGAAGGCCUUCGGGUUGUAAACUGCUUUUGUACGGAACGAAACGGUCUGCCCUAAUACGGUGGGCUAAUGACGGUACCGUAAGAAUAAGCACCGGCUAACUACGUGCCAGCAGCCGCGGUAAUACGUAGGGUGCGAGCGUUAAUCGGAAUUACUGGGCGUAAAGCGUGCGCAGGCGGUUAUAUAAGACAGAUGUGAAAUCCCCGGGCUCAACCUGGGACCUGCAUUUGUGACUGUAUAGCUAGAGUACGGUAGAGGGGGAUGGAAUUCCGCGUGUAGCAGUGAAAUGCGUAGAUAUGCGGAGGAACACCGAUGGCGAAGGCAAUCCCCUGGACCUGUACUGACGCUCAUGCACGAAAGCGUGGGGAGCAAACAGGAUUAGAUACCCGGNUANUC